Molecule: ribosomal RNA, 460 nt
Filed under: uncultured bacterium
Lineage: Bacteria
Description: partial 16S ribosomal RNA
Rfam family: Bacterial small subunit ribosomal RNA
Source: RNAcentral
CCUACGGGUGGCAGCAGUGAGGAAUAUUGGUCAAUGGACGAGAGUCUGAACCAGCCACGUAGCGUGAAGGAUGACUGCCCUAUGGGUUGUAAACUUCUUUUAUAAAGGAAUAAAACGAGGCACGUGUGCCUUUUUGCAUGUACUUUAUGAAUAAGGAUCGGCUAACUCCGUGCCAGCAGCCGCGGUAAUACGGAGGAUCCGAGCGUUAUCCGGAUUUAUUGGGUUUAAAGGGAGCGUAGAUGGGUUGUUAAGUCAGUUGUGAAAGUUUGCGGCUCAACCGUAAAAUUGCAAGUAAUACUGGCAGUCGUGAGUACAGUUGAGGUAGGCGGAAUUCGUGGUGUAGCGGUGAAAUGCUUAGAUAUCACGAAGAACCCCGAUUGCGAAGGCAGCUUACUAAACUGUGACUGACAUUGAUGCUCGAAAGUGUGGGUAUCAAACAGGAUUAGAUACCCCAGUAGUC